AGGGUUUGAUCAUGGCUCAGAUUGAACGCUGGCGGCAUGCUUUACACAUGCAAGUCGAACGGCAGCACANANANCUUCGGUUUGGUGGCGAGUGGCGAACGGGUGAGUAAUGCAUCGGAACGUGUCCUAAAGUGGGGGAUAACGCAUCGAAAGAUGCGCUAAUACCGCAUAAUCUCUGAGGAGAAAAGUGGGGGAUCGAAAGACCUCAUGCGUUUGGAGCGGCCGAUGUCUGAUUAGCUAGUUGGUAGGGUAACGGCCUACCAAGGCGACGAUCAGUAGUUGGUCUGAGAGGAUGGCCAGCCACACUGGGACUGAGAC
This 318-nucleotide ribosomal RNA is filed under the name uncultured Nitrosomonas sp. Its description in RNAcentral is "bacterial SSU rRNA". It matches the Rfam family "Bacterial small subunit ribosomal RNA", at positions 8 to 325 of the family's 1533-position model. The record is from RNAcentral. Lineage: Bacteria; Pseudomonadati; Pseudomonadota; Betaproteobacteria; Nitrosomonadales; Nitrosomonadaceae.